Molecule: ribosomal RNA, 253 nt
Filed under: uncultured bacterium
Lineage: Bacteria
Description: partial 16S ribosomal RNA
Rfam family: Bacterial small subunit ribosomal RNA
Source: RNAcentral
CACGUAGGGGACGAGCGUUGUCCGGAUUCAUUGGGCGUAAAGCGCGCGUAGGCGGCUCGGAAAGUCGGGCGUGAAAUCCCCGGGCUCAACCUGGGAACUGCAUUUGUGACUGCAUGGCUAGAGUACGGCAGAGGGGGAUGGAAUUCCGCGUGUAGCAGUGAAAUGCGUAGAUAUGCGGAGGAACACCGAUGGCGAAGGCAAUCCCCUGGGCCUGUACUGACGCUCAUGCACGAAAGCGUGGGGAGCAAACAGG